GACACGCUGGCGGCGUGCCUAACACAUGCAAGUCGAGCGAAUGAAGUUUCUUCGGGAACGGAUUUAGCGGCGGACGGGUGAGUAACACGUGGGCAACCUGCCUCAUAGAGGGGAAUAGCCUUCCGAAAGGGAGAUUAAUACCGCAUAAGAUUGUAGUACCGCAUGGUACAGCAAUUAAAGGAGCAAUCCGCUAUGAGAUGGGCCCGCGGCGCAUUAGCUAGUUGGUGAGGUAACGGCUCACCAAGGCGACGAUGCGUAGCCGACCUGAGAGGGUGAUCGGCCACAUUGGGACUGAGACACGGCCCAGACUCCUACGGGAGGCAGCAGUGGGGAAUAUUGCACAAUGGGGGAAACCCUGAUGCAGCAACGCCGCGUGAGUGAUGACGGCCUUCGGGUUGUAAAGCUCUGUCUUUAGGGACGAUAAUGACGGUACCUAAGGAGGAAGCCACGGCUAACUACGUG
Molecule: ribosomal RNA, 462 nt
Filed under: uncultured bacterium
Lineage: Bacteria
Description: bacterial SSU rRNA
Rfam family: Bacterial small subunit ribosomal RNA
Source: RNAcentral